AAUAGAUACCCCGGUAGUCCACGCCGUAAACGAUGUCGACUUGGAGGUUGUUCCCUUGAGGAGUGGCUUCCGGAGCUAACGCGUUAAGUCGACCGCCUGGGGAGUACGGCCGCAAGGUUAAAACUCAAAUGAAUUGACGGGGGCCCGCACAAGCGGUGGAGCAUGUGGUUUAAUUCGAUGCAACGCGAAGAACCUUACCUACUCUUGACAUCCAGAGAACUUAGCAGAGAUGCUUUGGUGCCUUCGGGAACUCUGAGACAGGUGCUGCAUGGCUGUCGUCAGCUCGUGUUGUGAAAUGUUGGGUUAAGUCCCGCAACGAGCGCAACCCUUAUCCUUUGUUGCCAGCGGUCCGGCCGGGAACUCAAAGGAGACUGCCAGUGAUAAACUGGAGGAAGGUGGGGAUGACGUCAAGUCAUCAUGGCCCUUACGAGUAGGGCUACACACGUGCUACAAUGGCGCAUACAAAGAGAAGCGACCUCGCGAGAGCAAGCGGACCUCAUAAAGUGCGUCGUAGUCCGGAUUGGAGUCUGCAAC
This 534-nucleotide ribosomal RNA is filed under the name uncultured bacterium. RNAcentral's name for it is "bacterial SSU rRNA". It matches the Rfam family "Bacterial small subunit ribosomal RNA", at positions 777 to 1311 of the family's 1533-position model. The record is from RNAcentral.